RNAcentral lists this ribosomal RNA (360 nucleotides) under Triticum aestivum (bread wheat). RNAcentral describes it as "partial small subunit ribosomal RNA". The record is from RNAcentral. Lineage: Eukaryota; Viridiplantae; Streptophyta; Magnoliopsida; Poales; Poaceae.
AUGAGUGACUUUGGCAUGGCAGAAACAGAUGAUGGCCUAAGUCCUAAAAUUGGACGAUCUGGCAAUCUGGAUGCUAAAACUUUUGUUUCGGGGCAAGGGAAUAUUAUGAGAAAAGAACAUAUCCAAGAAUUUUUGAAUUGUGUCCGAAAUUUAACUCUUCAUGAUGCUCCUAUACUUAGAAUAACAAAAUCUUAUGCAGAAGCUAUUUCGGCACUAGUUCAGAAACUUGAAAAUAAAUUCAUCCAUACCCAUCCUACCUUGCAAAGAUCGUUUUAUGAGUUACUUGUUAUAAAGAAUCCCAAUGCUAAAAAGUUGGCUACCCUCGUUCCUAUGAAUGAAUUUGACUACAUAAUACGGUAA